Molecule: ribosomal RNA, 253 nt
Filed under: uncultured bacterium
Lineage: Bacteria
Description: partial 16S ribosomal RNA
Rfam family: Bacterial small subunit ribosomal RNA
Source: RNAcentral
UACGAGGGGGGCGAGCGUUGUUCGGAAUUAUUGGGCGUAAAGAGCUCGUAGGCGGCUUGUCGCGUCGACUGUGAAAACCCGCGGCUCAACUGUGGGCUUGCAGUCGAUACGGGCAGGCUGGAGUUCGGUAGGGGAGACUGGAAUUCCUGGUGUAGCGGUGAAAUGCGCAGAUAUCAGGAGGAACACCGGUGGCGAAAGCGGCGCGCUGGACCUCUUCUGACGCUGAGGCGCGAAAGCUAGGGGAGCAAACGGG